GUGUCAGCAGCCGCGGUAAUACAGAGGGUGCAAGCGUUGUUCGGAAUUACUGGGCGUAAAGCGCGCGCAGGCGGCUUCUUAAGUCUAUGGGUGAAAGACCGGGGCUCAACCCCGUGUCAGCCCGGGAUACUGGGGAGCUAGGGACAUGUAGGGGCGAGCGGAAUUCCGGGUGUAGCGGUGGAAUGCGUAGAGAUCCGGAAGAACACCUGGGGCGAAGGCGGCUCGCUGGGCAUGAUCCGACGCUGAGGCGCGAAAGCGUGGGGAGCGAACAGGAUUAGAAACCCUUGUAGUCC
This 293-nucleotide ribosomal RNA is filed under the name uncultured bacterium. Its description in RNAcentral is "partial 16S ribosomal RNA". It matches the Rfam family "Bacterial small subunit ribosomal RNA", at positions 505 to 796 of the family's 1533-position model. The record is from RNAcentral.